Molecule: unclassified non-coding RNA, 221 nt
Filed under: uncultured Actinomycetes bacterium
Lineage: Bacteria; Bacillati; Actinomycetota; Actinomycetes
Description: uncultured actinobacterium contains 16S-23S intergenic spacer region
Source: RNAcentral
UCCGGUUUGGCACCGGCGGUCUCCCAUGAGUCCCCGGCAUGACCCGCUGGCAACAUGGGACAGGGGUUGCGCUCGUUGCGCCACUUAAGGCAACACCUCACGGCACGAGCUGACGACAGCCAUGCAGCACCUGUGCCGGCUCCCGAAGGAGCACCGUGUUUCCACGGUUUCACCCGGCAUGUCAAGCCCUGGUAAGGUGGGGAUGACGUUUACGUGCACUU